AGGAAAAGAAACCAACAGGGAUUGCCCUAGUAACGGCGAGUGAAGCGGCAACAGCUCAAAUUUGAAAUCUGGCGCAAGCCCGAGUUGUAAUUUGUAGAGGAUGCUUCAGGGCAGCGGCCGGUCUAAGUUCCUUGGAACAGGACGUCAUAGAGGGUGAGAAUCCCGUAUGCGACCGGUUGGCACCCGUCACGUAGCUCCUUCGACGAGUCGAGUUGUUUGGGAAUGCAGCUCUAAAUGGGAGGUAAAUUUCUUCUAAAGCUAAAUACCGGCCAGAGACCGAUAGCGCACAAGUAGAGUGAUCGAAAGAUGAAAAGCACUUUGGAAAGAGAGUUAAAAAGCACGUGAAAUUGUUGAAAGGGAAGCGCAUGCAACCAGACUUGUCGGCGGUGUUCCGCCGGUCUUCUGACCGGUCUAUUCGCCGCCGGCAGGCCAGCAUCAUCUGGGCGCGCCGGAUAAAGGCGUGGGGAAUGUAGCUCCUCGGAGUGUUAUAGCCCUGCGCACAAUACGGCGCCGCCCGGGUGAGGUCCGCGCUUCGGCUAGGAUGCUGGCGUAAUGGUUGUCUGCGGCCCGUCUUGAAACACGGACCAAGGAGUCUAACAUCUAUGCGAGUGUUCGGGUGUCAAACCCCUACGCGUAAUGAAAGUGAACGGAGGUGGGAAGCGCAAGCUGCACCAUCGACCGAUCCUGAUGUCUUCGGAUGGAUUUGAGUAAGAGCAUAGCUGUUGGGACCCGAAAGAUGGUGAACUAUGCCUGAAUAGGGUGAAGCCAGAGGAAACUCUGGUGGAGGCUCGCAGCGGUUCUGACGUGCAAA
Molecule: ribosomal RNA, 811 nt
Filed under: Teratosphaeria hortaea
Lineage: Eukaryota; Fungi; Ascomycota; Dothideomycetes; Mycosphaerellales; Teratosphaeriaceae
Description: eukaryotic LSU rRNA
Rfam family: Eukaryotic large subunit ribosomal RNA
Source: RNAcentral